Long non-coding RNA from Astatotilapia calliptera (eastern happy), 1325 nucleotides. The record is from Ensembl. NCBI's taxonomy places the organism in Eukaryota, Metazoa, Chordata, Actinopteri, Cichliformes, Cichlidae.
GAAGAAGCGGAAAGCCGGAGCACAUUUUAUGGUUAAUAAAAAGAAGAAGAAGAAGAAAAGAGGCGUUUUAUUUGGGGGGCCUCUUUUUACGCCACUUUUCGUAUUUUUAAAGGAGGCUCCGCUGCUACAAUGGUUUGUCACAUCACACAUUGGACAAUGAGACACAGCAGCAGUGACCAAAGCACAAUGAGGGCUGUACUGCAUGCGUCAUUGCUGACAUAUGGGACCGCAAAUGAGAAGCUGAUUUGUAGUUUUAAAUGUGUUAAACACGUCUGCGUCAAACUCCACAGGAGAUAUCCCAUGGAAAUAAUGUUUGUAAACGUAUUAAGUGAUGCCAGCUUUUUUGUUUUGCAGUGCUUUUCCUGCUUAGACGUAAAAUCACUGUUAAUUCACGACAGCGGGCAGAAUGAAAUUUUCGUUACGAGUUAAUGUGCGUCUGUGCUGUAGUGCUGGCUUUUCAGACGUAAGAGUGGAUGUCUGCAUGCCUGGAUUCGAGACACUGCCAUUAUGUGCAAACGUGCAGUGAAGAAAACGUGCAAAGUUUCCCACAGCAUCCUGAGAUUUAUAUGAUUACUUUGUUGAGAUUUUGCAUAUACACUGUUAUGCAAAUGUCACUAAAUACUUGAAAGCUACACGCACGUGUUCUGCACCUACGUUUGUGUAUCAGGCAGAAAGUCUUCAGAUAAGCACAACAAGAAUUACAUAGAAACUAUACAAUUUUACAGUUUGCAGAGAAACUCACUUAGCAUGGAGUAAGUUAAAAUAAAAAUAAGAGAAGUGAACUUUUCCAAAAAAUAUGUCAAUAAAUAGAUACACUCCCUUGUAAAGGGUGCCCUAAUAAAUGCAUUCAAAUACGAGUUACCUUGAACAUAUAACAUUUAACUCAGGUGUAGAUUUUCUCCAUGAUAACAGACUUCUGUUUCCCUUAAUGUAACAACAGGUAAGAUAAGACACACAUAGCAUGUGAACAAACUGUAUCCAGUUAUUACUGAGGUGUGUGCGUGUGUGUGUUUUGCUAUACAAUCCUGUUUUCUUCUUCAAGAUUCUUUGCUUUGCUAUGUAAUUCAUUUCUUUUAAAAUUAAUAUUACAUUUCAGCUCAGUCUCUUUCUUUCUUGUUUUCUCUUUCAGGUGUUUAAAAAGUCAAUGAUAUGUAAAACUUAAACAGAUUUCCCAACUGUGAUUUCAUUUUCUCCUUUCCCCUUAAUAUACACCGAAUUUCAAUUUUGUGGUACGUCAUUAACUGUGUGUAUUAUUAUCAUUAUUAUUGUCUUUAAAUAAAGUUAUUUCAAGUCUCUAUGCAACAACAUGGAUGAUUAAUAAAAGC